RNAcentral lists this non-coding RNA (89 nucleotides) under Chloroparvula japonica. The record is from RNAcentral. Lineage: Eukaryota; Viridiplantae; Chlorophyta; Chloropicophyceae; Chloropicales; Chloropicaceae.
AUAUUUUUUUGGAUUUUAAAAAUGGCAGACACACGGGAGAAUAGUAAGUUGCAUCUCUCCCCUCGUCCCGCAGACAGGAAGGGUUCAUC